AACAUCAAAAACAUCGGAACAUUUCUCUUUAAGGUUUUACUCUCGUUUCUGCCUUCUUUCACACGAUAGCCUGUGUCACCGAACCCACCGUACUUGUUUUACCUGUGUGCAAUAAACGAUGUCUCAAGAUCAGCUCAACGACGAGGCCCAGUGGACCGAGAUCGAAGAGGAGGCACCACAGGAGCGGGAAACCCCCAACACGCCUGACCAGGCUGAGGAUUGCAACGAGACCGCACCGGCAGAGGAGCAGGCUGAGGAUUGCAACGAGGCCGCACCGGCAGAGGAGCAGGCUGAGUAUUGCAACGAGGCCACACCGGCAGAGGAGCAGGCUGAGGAUUGCAACGAGGCCGCACCGGCAGAGGAGCAGGCUGAGGAUUGCAACGAGGCCGCACCGGCAGAGGAGCAGGCUGAGGAUUGCAACGAGGCCGCACCGGCAGAGGAGCAGGCUGAGGAUUGCAACGAGGCCGCACCGGCAGAGGAGCAGGCUGAGGAUUGCAACGAGGCCGCACCGGCAGAGGAGCAGGCUGAGGAUUGCAACGAGGCCGCACCGGCAGAGGAGCAGGCUGAGGAUUGCAACGAGUCUGAGCCGGCAGAGGAGCAGGCUGAGGGAGCCGCUGAUGGACCUGACCAGCGUCAGGAUCUGGGCAGUGAAGAGAAACCUGAACCGCCAUUUGAGGAGACACAGCAGGCCGAAGAGUGCCCAGAGGAUGUCGUCCCGCUUGAGGCUUCCGAGACUCAGGAGCACGAGACCCCUGGGGCCGAGGAGGCUUACGAGGGAGAGCGUGCCGAGCACUUAGCUCAGAAGUCUCACUCUCCUCAAUAUUACUUGGCGGACAGCGAGCCCCAAGUAAUCCCGCAGCAGGCCUGCGAGGAGGAGGCUCCCCAGGAGUAUCCGAAAGAGAUCGGCAAUAACUAUGACGCACCGCAGCACGCGUACGAGGUGGUGGCCCCGGACAACGCUCACGCCCGCUCGAUGCCUGCGCCGCACGCUGCCGCUGCCGCUACGCCGCCGAGCGCGAUCGUGAAGCCGCGGACGCGCAACGUGAAGAGCGUCGCGCGCUGGGAGGCGGUGGAGUAUGACCUGCGUGACGGCAGCGACGAUGAGUUCGAGCUGUCGACGUGCAUGACACCGGUAUACGAGGGCGAAGGUGAGGAGGGCAACGAGGAUGCGAGCGUGUUCAAGCACGGCGAGCCGGAUUGCAAGGGGGAGAUCAUGUCGUGCUUCGACGAGCCGAACCUGCUGUACCGGAUCAUUGACCCGAAGGCGAAGACGUGGUCGUUUUACAACGACAGCCUGCAGUACGAGAUGCAUGUGCAGUUCAUAUUUGGCAAGCACUCGAAGCUGCAGCCGCUGGAGAACACGACGCUGCGGCAGAACGAAGAGGGCCAAUACGUGAUGGAGGUGGUCGUGUACCCGACGGAGACCGAGAUGUUUUUGCAGGGCACCGUGAACGGGUUCACAAGCAAGCUGCGCGCUGUGCCACUGACGGAGGACUACCAUAAUGCGCGCCGCGGGAUCACGGAGGAGCUGGUGAACAACGAGGUGGCUGCGAUCCAGCAGGUGACGAGCAGCGACAACGCGGAGGACGUGCUGCAGGCGUGCAUCGACAGCGGGAUCCCAUUCGUGGACCCCGAGUUCCCGCCGUGCCAGGCGUCGCUGGAAGCUGGCGCGAACAAGCCGUUCAAGCCGUUUGCGUGGGCACGGCCGCAGGCAUGCGUGCCGGAGGAGAUGGCGUCGCAGGUUCGACUGUUCCGCGCGAACGUGAGGCCCGGCUGUGUGGACGCUGGCGACCUCGGCGACUCGUGGGUGAUUUGCUCUGUUGCGUCGGUGUCGGAGGACCCUGCGCGGCUGAUGGGGAUGUUCCGCCACCCGGAGGGCAAGGCUGCGGCACAGCGCGAGCACGCGGUUGGCGCGUACCGCGUGACGUUCAACAAAAAUGGGUGGUGGCGCAGCGUGCUGGUGGACAGCUACCUGCCUGUGUCCGGCGGCAAGCUGAAGUACGCGAAGAGCGCGACGGACCCGGCGGAGAUCUGGCCUGCGAUCCUGGAGAAGGCGUACGCGAAGCUGCAUGGCAGCUACGCGAGGAUCUGCUCCGGCGACCCGCUGCACGCGCUGCAGGACAUGACCGGGUUCUCGACGAUGCGCUUCGACGAGUUGCUGACGGACGACAAGGCGAGCGACCAGCUGUUCAGCGACCUUGUGCAUGGGAUUGCUGCAGGGUACACGGUGAUCUGCAGCACACCAGGGCGCGGGCCACACGACAAAGACCAGGAGCUGUGCGAGGCGUACGCGCAGGUGGGGCUUGUGACCGGGUGCGCGUACACGAUCCUGGAGGCGAAGCACAUCGAGAACAAGGACCUGCGGAUGGUGAAGGUACGCAACGCAUGGGGGCGCGGUGUGGAGUGGAGCGGCAGCUGGGGCAACGACGACACGAAAUGGGACGCGAACCCAGAUAUCGCGGAGGAAUGCAACUUCCAGAAGGCGGCGAAUGGGAUGUUCUGGAUGUCGUGGAAGGACGCGCGGAAGUACUUCAACGGUGGUGGCGUGUGCUUCACGCACCAGCCGGCGUACGACUACCGCAUGAACUGCGUGUUCACGGAAGGCGUGCCGUCCGCUGUGCUGGAGAUCGAGGUGCAGUCGCCUACGUGCUUCACGUUUGUGAUUUCACAGGACGACAAGCGGUGCCAGGUGAACGCGUCGGAGUACAAGCCUGUGAUGAUCAGCAUUGCGGAGCCCGUGGAGGGCGACAUGUACAAGGUCGUCAUGAAUUCCUCGGCGAACGGCGCGCGGCCGACGUCGGACAAGUGGAUGUUUCUUCAGGCACGCGACGUCUCACUGAUCCACAAGCUGGACGCUGGGAAGUACAUUGUCGUGCCGCGCAUCAUGCCGUCGGAUGACCCAGUGGAGCCUGUACCGUACGUUCUGGGGAUGAUCUGCAACAAGGAGGUUGGCAACGGCGACGUGAGCGUGAAGUUUAAGCGCCUGGACGCUGGCAACCGCGUGUUCGAGAACUUCCCGAAGUUCGAGCCGGAGCUGAUGGAGGUGGAGCAGCCGGUGCAGUACCAGAAGCGCGCGCCGGGCGAGGCAUUCCCGAUGACACAGAUGGGGGAGGAGGUGAUGUAGAUGUGUGUUCCCUCCUCACGAUUGCUGUGCUGUUGGUGAGGCGAGCAGAAACACAAAAGUUCUGACGCUAUUGAUCUGCGCAGACAUCCUUGGCUUCUCGGCAAGGGAAACGGUGUAGGAGCGCACCCUCGUAGCAUAGUUUUUGUUUGGUGGCACUCACUGUUUUUCGGGCUUUUGCGUGGCUGAUGUGGGGCAUGCCAGACAUGUUGCAGCACGUUGAGGUGUAACGGGAAGCUGGGGUGGCUGAAGUGGAACGUAUACAGCUCUGAUGACGUUGCAGGUGCCGCUUUGUUUUGGCGGAAGCUUACAACCGUCGACGUUCUUUUCACUCGAAACCACUGUACGACUUACGCAUGGAGUUGCUAGCAGAAAACAGGUAGGACAACAGCAACAGGAGUGGGUGUGUGAGUACAUUAUUCCCGAUUGUGGUUCUCUUUCCUCCUUUUUGCUCUGAACCAUGUGCACAUGUACAUAGCUAAGCACACUGUCUUCGUUUCUGUUGUUUUUGAUUGAUUGAAUUUUGUGUGUGCCCUUUUUUUAAUCUCCUUCGAGGCGUGUACGGGCCUGUGGGCCUCUGGUACUUCUCAUGCGCUCCGCAUCUGCAAGGAGAAAAAAAAAAACAACAGCGGUACGAAGAGUUACUGGAUUGUGACGGCGAAACCGAUGUGUUGCUGGUCCAUCUCGAAUUCAUCUCUCAGACGCAGUGCACUUGCUUUGGACGUCGCGGUUGUUUUCUAGUCUCCCUCUUUUCCCUACUUUAUUCUCUCCCAAUGUUUUUGCUUUCAUUUAGAGUCUCGGUUGCCUUGUUUUCCUUGUGUGUAGUUUAUUUUUCCUGUAUUUUGCCUCAUUCUGUUUUUUGUUACUGUUAUUAUUUUUGCUUUGCCUUUCCCAUCUACGCCUUUUUUGUUUGGUCGUCGUCGUCUGCCACCAUCACGCCUCGCUUUUCUGUCUUACCUUCCUUUGUCACCCAGCAGUUUUUCUUUUCUGCAGUUCGCGGAGGAAAUGAACAAAGAAGCUCGAGAAACGGAAGUGCUCUUCUGUUCUUUUGUCAGUCCCUCAAAGAAACGCCAAUAAGAAUGGCAUCGAUAUAUCCGUUCGAUGAGGUGAUGCAGCUAACCUUGAUUAUUUUUUUUCGCCAGCGGUCCAUAAAGAUGUGGAUCUUACUCUAUAUAUCUUCUCUCUUUGUUCUUGGCACUGGAUUGAAGGGGGAAAAAGCGGAAUAAAAAACAAAGAGGAGCAGGAUAGCCCUUCACAAUGCACGUUCGGGUGCUUACACUUCCAGCUCACGUGCUAUUUUAUCUUGCCUGCUCUUUACCGUAUGCGCACGUUCUUUCAGCCGCCCCUCUCGUUGCUCAAUCUGGUUGCCUCAUUUCACGUGUUUGGAGACCUCUUCACCAGUUUCCCCAGGCGGUGGAAGCGCAGAGGCAGAAGUGCCAGAGAGUGCGUCAUAACGACGUAGAAGGAAGAGUGCGAUUCGAAGAGAGGAGCACACGAGCUUUCGAGUGGAGGACUAAGUGCUUGCCUGGCGAGGUGCACACCCUUCUGUUCCGACAGGCAGGCGCUUGGCUUAUUCCCUUGAUACGUUUUCUUUUCUUCCUCUCCUUUGUUUUUGGUUUCGCAAUACUAUGAACCUUCUGCUUUUGUCUGUUUUCUUUUUCAUACGCUUGCAUGCGAGAGUGCGUGUUUAUGCGUGCGCGCCUGCAUGCGCGCGGACUUUUGAUAGUACUGAUUUCCAUUGUUUAAUGUGCACAUGUUUUGUGCUCUUUUGAAAAGAGGAAAAGGCGUGCCGGACUGGCAUCGUAAGAAGAGUAUCGGCGAGGCAACAUCUUUGACAAUCGGGAAGCAAACACGCAGACUAGAUAUAUUGCCUCUCUUCACUCUUUUUUUCGGACUUGUCUUUUUUCCCACAUGGUUCACCGAACCCAAACGCGGCGAAAAAAAGAGAGAUGGAUUACCUGAAGAGUCCAUGCUCAUGAUACAUGACGGCCGCACACAUACACGCACGCACACGUGAACCGAACGGUAAGACCAAAGGAAAAAGGUCUUUACUUCCCCACUUUCAAUAGAAAGAAUGAAAGUUACCCACCUUCCGUUCCUCUUUACGCCCUUUUUCUAUAUGUGACUAGUGCGGAAGGGAUUACUUUCUCGACCCUGUGUAGGGCCAUUCCGACCCCCUACUCAUCGGUCUCAGGAAAGUAGCCUUGGCUUCUUCCAAAAGAAAAACAAGGCC
RNAcentral lists this unclassified non-coding RNA (5354 nucleotides) under Leishmania donovani. RNAcentral describes it as "gene:LdHU3.20.1510(CDS-product:cysteine_peptidase _Clan_CA_family_C2_putative)". The record is from RNAcentral. Lineage: Eukaryota; Euglenozoa; Kinetoplastea; Trypanosomatida; Trypanosomatidae.